This 1548-nucleotide ribosomal RNA is filed under the name Escherichia coli. Its description in RNAcentral is "bacterial SSU rRNA". It matches the Rfam family "Bacterial small subunit ribosomal RNA". Lineage: Bacteria; Pseudomonadati; Pseudomonadota; Gammaproteobacteria; Enterobacterales; Enterobacteriaceae. The record is from RNAcentral.
AAGAGUUUGAUCAUGGCUCAGAUUGAACGCUGGCGGCAGGCCUAACACAUGCAAGUCGAACGGUAACAGGAAGCAGCUUGCUGCUUUGCUGACGAGUGGCGGACGGGUGAGUAAUGUCUGGGAAACUGCCUGAUGGAGGGGGAUAACUACUGGAAACGGUAGCUAAUACCGCAUAACGUCGCAAGACCAAAGAGGGGGACCUUCGGGCCUCUUGCCAUCGGAUGUGCCCAGAUGGGAUUAGCUAGUAGGUGGGGUAAAGGCUCACCUAGGCGACGAUCCCUAGCUGGUCUGAGAGGAUGACCAGCCACACUGGAACUGAGACACGGUCCAGACUCCUACGGGAGGCAGCAGUGGGGAAUAUUGCACAAUGGGCGCAAGCCUGAUGCAGCCAUGCCGCGUGUAUGAAGAAGGCCUUCGGGUUGUAAAGUACUUUCAGCGGGGAGGAAGGGAGUAAAGUUAAUACCUUUGCUCAUUGACGUUACCCGCAGAAGAAGCACCGGCUAACUCCGUGCCAGCAGCCGCGGUAAUACGGAGGGUGCAAGCGUUAAUCGGAAUUACUGGGCGUAAAGCGCACGCAGGCGGUUUGUUAAGUCAGAUGUGAAAUCCCCGGGCUCAACCUGGGAACUGCAUCUGAUACUGGCAAGCUUGAGUCUCGUAGAGGGGGGUAGAAUUCCAGGUGUAGCGGUGAAAUGCGUAGAGAUCUGGAGGAAUACCGGUGGCGAAGGCGGCCCCCUGGACGAAGACUGACGCUCAGGUGCGAAAGCGUGGGGAGCAAACAGGAUUAGAUACCCUGGUAGUCCACGCCGUAAACGAUGUCGACUUGGAGGUUGUGCCCUUGAGGCGUGGCUUCCGGAGCUAACGCGUUAAGUCGACCGCCUGGGGAGUACGGCCGCAAGGUUAAAACUCAAAUGAAUUGACGGGGGCCCGCACAAGCGGUGGAGCAUGUGGUUUAAUUCGAUGCAACGCGAAGAACCUUACCUGGUCUUGACAUCCACGGAAGUUUUCAGAGAUGAGAAUGUGCCUUCGGGAACCGUGAGACAGGUGCUGCAUGGCUGUCGUCAGCUCGUGUUGUGAAAUGUUGGGUUAAGUCCCGCAACGAGCGCAACCCUUAUCCUUUGUUGCCAGCGGUCCGGCCGGGAACUCAAAGGAGACUGCCAGUGAUAAACUGGAGGAAGGUGGGGAUGACGUCAAGUCAUCAUGGCCCUUACGACCAGGGCUACACACGUGCUACAAUGGCGCAUACAAAGAGAAGCGACCUCGCGAGAGCAAGCGGACCUCAUAAAGUGCGUCGUAGUCCGGAUUGGAGUCUGCAACUCGACUCCAUGAAGUCGGAAUCGCUAGUAAUCGUGGAUCAGAAUGCCACGGUGAAUACGUUCCCGGGCCUUGUACACACCGCCCGUCACACCAUGGGAGUGGGUUGCAAAAGAAGUAGGUAGCUUAACCUUCGGGAGGGCGCUUACCACUUUGUGAUUCAUGACUGGGGUGAAGUCGUAACAAGGUAACCGUAGGGGAACCUGCGGUUGGAUCACCUCCUUACCUUAAAGAAGC